GGGUUGUGAGGUUAAGCGACUAAGCGUACACGGUGGAUGCCCUGGCAGUCAGAGGCGAUGAAGGACGUGCUAAUCUGCGAAAAGCGUCGGUAAGGUGAUAUGAACCGUUAUAACCGGCGAUGUCCGAAUGGGGAAACCCAGUGUGAUUCGUCACACUAUCGUUAACUGAAUACAUAGGUUAACGAGGCGAACCGGGGGAACUGAAACAUCUAAGUACCCCGAGGAAAAGAAAUCAACCGAGAUUCCCCCAGUAGCGGCGAGCGAACGGGGAGCAGCCCAGAGUCUGAAUCAGCUUGUGUGUUAGUGGAACGGUCUGGAAAGUCCGACGGUACAGGGUGAUAGUCCCGUACACCAAAAUGCACAGGCUGUGAACUCGAAGAGUAGGGCGGGACACGUGGUAUCCUGUCUGAAUAUGGGGGGACCAUCCUCCAAGGCUAAAUACUCCUGACUGACCGAUAGUGAACCAGUACCGUGAGGGAAAGGCGAAAAGAACCCCGGCGAGGGGAGUGAAAAAGAACCUGAAACCGUGUACGUACAAGCAGUGGGAGCACCUUCGGGUGUGACUGCGUACCUUUUGUAUAAUGGGUCAGCGACUUAUAUUCUGUAGCAAGGUUAACCGUAUAGGGGAGCCGCAGGGAAACCGAGUCUUAACUGGGCGUUAAGUUGCAGGGUAUAGACCCGAAACCCGGUGAUCUAGCCAUGGGCAGGUUGAAGGUUGGGUAACACUAACUGGAGGACCGAACCGACUAAUGUUGAAAAAUUAGCGGAUGACUUGUGGCUGGGGGUGAAAGGCCAAUCAAACCGGGAGAUAGCUGGUUCUCCCCGAAAGCUAUUUAGGUAGCGCCUCGUGAACUCAUCUUCGGGGGUAGAGCACUGUUUCGGCUAGGGGGUCAUCCCGACUUACCAACCCGAUGCAAACUACGAAUACCGAAGAAUGUUAUCACGGGAGACACACGGCGGGUGCUAACGUCCGUCGUGAAGAGGGAAACAACCCAGACCGCCAGCUAAGGUCCCAAAGUCAUGGUUAAGUGGGAAACGAUGUGGGAAGGCACAGACAGCCAGGAUGUUGGCUUAGAAGCAGCCAUCAUUUAAAGAAAGCGUAAUAGCUCACUGGUCGAGUCGGCCUGCGCGGAAGAUGUAACGGGGCUAAACCAUGCACCGAAGCUGCGGCAGCGACACUAUGUGUUGUUGGGUAGGGGAGCGUUCUGUAAGCCUGCGAAGGUGACCUGUGAGGGUUGCUGGAGGUAUCAGAAGUGCGAAUGCUGACAUAAGUAACGAUAAAGCGGGUGAAAAGCCCGCUCGCCGGAAGACCAAGGGUUCCUGUCCAACGUUAAUCGGGGCAGGGUGAGUCGACCCCUAAGGCGAGGCCGAAAGGCGUAGUCGAUGGGAAACAGGUUAAUAUUCCUGUACUUGGUGUUACUGCGAAGGGGGGACGGAGAAGGCUAUGUUAGCCGGGCGACGGUUGUCCCGGUUUAAGCAUGUAGGCUGAUUAUCCAGGCAAAUCCGGAUAAUCAAGGCUGAGGUGUGAUGACGAGGCACUACGGUGCUGAAGUAACAAAUGCCCUGCUUCCAGGAAAAGCCUCUAAGCAUCAGGUAACAUCAAAUCGUACCCCAAACCGACACAGGUGGUCAGGUAGAGAAUACCAAGGCGCUUGAGAGAACUCGGGUGAAGGAACUAGGCAAAAUGGUGCCGUAACUUCGGGAGAAGGCACGCUGGUGUGUAGGUGAAGCCCCUGCGGGUGGAGCUGAGACCAGUCGAAGAUACCAGCUGGCUGCAACUGUUUAUUAAAAACACAGCACUGUGCAAACACGAAAGUGGACGUAUACGGUGUGACGCCUGCCCGGUGCCGGAAGGUUAAUUGAUGGGGUUAUCCGUAAGGAGAAGCUCUUGAUCGAAGCCCCGGUAAACGGCGGCCGUAACUAUAACGGUCCUAAGGUAGCGAAAUUCCUUGUCGGGUAAGUUCCGACCUGCACGAAUGGCGUAAUGAUGGCCAGGCUGUCUCCACCCGAGACUCAGUGAAAUUGAACUCGCUGUGAAGAUGCAGUGUACCCGCGGCAAGACGGAAAGACCCCGUGAACCUUUACUAUAGCUUGACACUGAACAUUGAGCCUUGAUGUGUAGGAUAGGUGGGAGGCUUUGAAGCGUGGACGCCAGUCUGCGUGGAGCCAACCUUGAAAUACCACCCUUUAAUGUUUGAUGUUCUAACGUUGGCCCCUUACCGGGGUUGCGGACAGUGUCUGGUGGGUAGUUUGACUGGGGCGGUCUCCUCCCAAAGCGUAACGGAGGAGCACGAAGGUUAGCUAAUCCUGGUCGGACAUCAGGAGGUUAGUGCAAUGGCAUAAGCUAGCUUGACUGCGAGCGUGACGGCGCGAGCAGGUGCGAAAGCAGGUCAUAGUGAUCCGGUGGUUCUGAAUGGAAGGGCCAUCGCUCAACGGAUAAAAGGUACUCCGGGGAUAACAGGCUGAUACCGCCCAAGAGUUCAUAUCGACGGCGGUGUUUGGCACCUCGAUGUCGGCUCAUCACAUCCUGGGGCUGAAGUAGGUCCCAAGGGUAUGGCUGUUCGCCAUUUAAAGUGGUACGCGAGCUGGGUUUAGAACGUCGUGAGACAGUUCGGUCCCUAUCUGCCGUGGGCGCUGGAGAAUUGAGGGGGGCUGCUCCUAGUACGAGAGGACCGGAGUGGACGCAUCACUGGUGUUCGGGUUGUCAUGCCAAUGGCACUGCCCGGUAGCUAAAUGCGGAAGAGAUAAGUGCUGAAAGCAUCUAAGCACGAAACUUGCCCCGAGAUGAGUUCUCCCUGAGACUUUAAGUCUCCUGAAGGAACGUUGAAGACGAUGACGUUGAUAGGCCGGGUGUGUAAGCGCAGCGAUGCGUUGAGCUAACCGGUACUAAUGAACCGUGAGGCUUAACCUUACAACGCCGAAG
This 2923-nucleotide ribosomal RNA is filed under the name Klebsiella pneumoniae. RNAcentral's name for it is "23S ribosomal RNA". It matches the Rfam family "Bacterial large subunit ribosomal RNA". Lineage: Bacteria; Pseudomonadati; Pseudomonadota; Gammaproteobacteria; Enterobacterales; Enterobacteriaceae. The record is from RNAcentral.